GAGAGCGGCGGACGGGUGAGUAAUACCUAGGAAUCUGCCUGGUAGUGGGGGAUAACGUUCGGAAACGGACGCUAAUACCGCAUACGUCCUACGGGAGAAAGCAGGGGACCUUCGGGCCUUGCGCUAUCAGAUGAGCCUAGGUCGGAUUAGCUAGUUGGUGAGGUAAUGGCUCACCAAGGCUACGAUCCGUAACUGGUCUGAGAGGAUGAUCAGUCACACUGGAACUGAGACACGGUCCAGACUCC
Molecule: ribosomal RNA, 245 nt
Filed under: uncultured Pseudomonas sp.
Lineage: Bacteria; Pseudomonadati; Pseudomonadota; Gammaproteobacteria; Pseudomonadales; Pseudomonadaceae
Description: partial 16S ribosomal RNA
Rfam family: Bacterial small subunit ribosomal RNA
Source: RNAcentral